CAGCAGCCACGGUAAUACAGAGGGUGCGAGCGUUAAUCGGAUUUACUGGGCGUAAAGCGUGCGUAGGCGGCUUUUUAAGUCGGAUGUGAAAUCCCUGAGCUUAACUUAUGAAUUGCAUUCGAUACUGGGAAGCUAGAGUAUGGGAGAGGAUGGUAGAAUUCCAGGUGUAGCGGUGAAAUGCGUAGAGAUCUGGAGGAAUACCGAUGGCGAAGGCAGCCAUCUGGCCUAAUACUGACGCUGAGGUACGAAAGCAUGGGGAGCAAACAGGAUUAGAUACCCGAGUAGUCCCUGUCUCUUAUAC
RNAcentral lists this ribosomal RNA (301 nucleotides) under uncultured bacterium. RNAcentral describes it as "partial 16S ribosomal RNA". It matches the Rfam family "Bacterial small subunit ribosomal RNA", at positions 509 to 807 of the family's 1533-position model. The record is from RNAcentral.